AUGUGUCGCUUAUCCUGGGGUCAAGGGACCCAUCUACAGCUGUGGACACUUCUGUGCCCUUCAUGCUUGGAAAAUCCCCAGCAUGUUCCUUUUUUUAAUAUUAGCUGGACUUAUACAUGCACAUGCAUCUGCACACACACUUUAUAGAUAUAAAAUAUAGAGAGAUUUAUAUUCAAAUUUAUUUAUAUAAUAUAAAGUAUGUGUAUCUAUAUACACACAUUGCAUUUUUAUACACUUUAUAUACAAACCAGCAUUAAAAAAGUCAAAGGAAUACAGAUUUAUCUAUACAUUAUUUAAAUAGAUAAUUAUACAUAUAUGUAGAUAGAUUAUAUUUAUGUAAUAUUGAUAUAUAUCUAUAUAAAUAUAUAGUAUAUGUAGUUACUUAGAAAUAAAUAUAAAUAUAUAUGUAUUUAGAAAUAAAUAACGUAAAAAUCUAUAUAAUAAAGAUAUAUACAUAUAAAUAUAUAGAUUUAUAAUAUAGGUAUGUAGAUAUAAUAUAAAAGUGUGAUGCUGGGCGCAGUGGCUCACGCCUGUAAUCCCAACACUUUGGCAGGGAGGCAGGCUGAUCACCUGAGGUCAGGAGUUUGAGACCAGCCUGGCCAACAUGGUGAAACCCCGUCUUUACUAAAAAUACAAAAAUUAGCCGAGUGUGGUGGUGGGUGCCUGUAAUCCCGGCUACUUGGGAGGCUGAGGCAGGAGAAUUGCUUGAACCCGGGAGGCAGAGGUUGCAGUGAGCCAAGAGCACGCCAUUGCACUCCAGCCUGGGCAAUAAGAGCUCAACUCCGUCUCAAAUUAAACAAAUAAUAAUAUAAAGUGUGUAUACCUAUAUAUAGAUAUAUUGCAUUUUUUUUUGAGAUGGAGUCUUACUCUGUCUCCCAGGCUGGAGUGCAGUGAUGCGAUCUUGGCUCACUGCAACUUCCACCUCCCAGGAUCAAGCGAUUCUCCUGCCUCAACCUCCCGAGUAGCUGGAAUUACAUGCACUUGCCACCACACCUAGCUAAUUUUUGUAAUUUUUUUUUCAUAGAGACGGGGUUUCACCAUGUUGAUCACAACCUCAAGUGAUCUGCCCACCUUGGCCUCCCAAAGUGCUGGGAUUGUAGGAGGCAUGAGCCACUCUGACUAGACACAUUGGUUUUUUUACACUUUAUGUACAAGCUAGCAUACAGAAAACUCAAAGGAAUAUAUUUAUCUAUACAUCAUGUAAAUAGAUAAGUAUAUAUAUAUAUUUAUCUAUAAAUUAUAUAUAUUUAUAAAUAUCCAUAUAUAGUAUAUAUUUAGCAAUAUAUAAAUAUAGCUAUAUAUUUAGAAAUAUAUAAAUAUAUAUAUAUGUAGAUCUGUAUAAUAUAAAUCUGUAGGUAUCAAUAUAUAGCUGUAUAUAAUGUAACAAAUAUAUAAUAUAGGUGUGUACAUAUAGUGUAUAUCUCUACAGAGACAUUGCAUUUUUAUAUACUUUAUUUACCAACUAGCAUACAGAAAAGUCAAAGGAAUGUAGAUUUGUCUAUACCUUAUAUAAAUAGAUAAUUAUAUAUACAGAUUUAUCUAUAAAUUAUAUAUAAUGUUUAUAUAAAAUAUAUAGCAUAGCUAUUUGGAAAUACAUAAAUGUAUAUAAAUCUAUAUAUAUUUAGAAAUAUAUGCAAAUAAUAAAUGUAUAUGUAAAUAUGUAUAAUAUAGCUAUAUAGAUAUGUAUCAAUAUAUGGCUGUAUGUAAAUAUAUAAUAUAGGUAUAUAGAUAUAACAUAAAAGUGUGUAUAUCUCUCUACAGACACAUUGCAUUUUUAUACACUUUAUAUGCAACCCAUACAAGAAGUCAAAGGAAUGAAAUGCAUGUUUUAAGACUGAGAACUUUGGCCAGGCGUGGUGGCUCAUGCUUGUAAUCCCAGCACUUUGGGAGGCCGAGGCAGGCGGAUCACCUGAGGUCGGGAGUUCGAGACCAGCCUGACCAACAUGGAGAAACCCUGUCUCUACUAAAAAUACACAGCUGGACGUGGUGACACAUCCCAGUAAUUCCAGCUACUUGGGAGGCUGAGGCAGGAGAAUCGCUUGAACCUGGGAGGUGGAGGUUGCAGUGAGCUGAGAUCACACCACUGCACUCCAGCCUGGGCAACAAGAGCAAAACUCUGGCUCAAAAAAACAAAAAACAAAACAAAAAGAGUGGGAGCUUUAAGUAACUGCAGUCACAUGCCACUUAAUGAUGGAGCUGGCCUCUGAGAAAUGUGUGCUUAGGUGAUUUUGUCUUUGUGCACGCAUAGGGUGGACUCACACAGACCUGGCUGGCCCAGCCUCUGACACACCAAGGGUAUAUGGCAGAUUCUUUUGCUCCCAGGCUACAAAUGUAGAUGGUAUGUGGCUAUGCUGAGUAACACAAGGAAUGGUCAGCAUGUGUGCAUCUAAGCAUCCCUAAGCUUAGACAAGGGGCAGUAAAAAUACAGCACAAAACCUGAAAACUGGCGCCUGUAUAAGGCACUCAGCAUGAGUGGAGCUCGCAGAACGGAAUGUUGCGCUGGGUGAGUGAGUGAGGGAGGUGUGAGUGGGUGUGAAGGCCAGGACAUUCAUUCCUGUGCACCGAUGAAGGCCUCAUCAACUCUGUACACUUAGGCUGCACUCAGUUCAUUUUAACAAGAUUCAUUCUUCACUAAGGAAUUAACCUUAGCCGACUGGAACUUUUUUAUUCUAUUAACUUUUUAAAUGUCGUUUUAACGUUUCGAUUAUUUUGCUAAUAAUACUUAGCCUAAAACACAAGCAUAUUAUGCAGCUGUACACCAAUAUUCUCUUUCUUCUAUAAACUAUUUUCCCUUUUUUGCUUUUUAAAUAUUUUUGUUCAAAACUGAGGUCCACACACAUUAGUGUAAGCCUGCACAGGGUCAGGAUGCCCGGCCUCCCUGUCUUCCUCCUCCACACGCGACUGCAGUGCAAAGUCUUCAGAAGCAGUAACACACAUGGUCACAACGCCUUUGAGAAUCCCUCCCAAGGGACCUGCCUGAGGCUGCCUCACACUUAACUUUUUAACAUAAGGCGAAGGAGCACACUAAAUGGUAACAAUCAAAAGAGUAUAGGUUGCGCGCAGUGAGUGGCUCACUCCUGUAAUCCCAACACUUUGGGAGGCCAAGGCAGGAGGACUGCUUGAGCCCAAGAGUUCCAGACCAGCCCGGGCAACAACAGUGAGACCCAUCUCUACAUAACAUACAACAAUUAGCCAGGCGUGGUGGUGCGCGCCUGUAGUCCCUGCUACUUGGGAGACUGAGGCAUGAGAAUUGCUUGAACCCAGUAGGUGGAGGUUGCAGUGAGCCGAUAUGGCGCCACUGCACUCCAGCCUGGAUGACAGAGUGAGACUCUGGCCACUGCACCUCCCCGCCAAAAAUGUAGAGUAUAGUAAAUAGAUAAACCAAGGCCAUAGUCAUUAAUAUCAUUACCAACUAUUAGGUGCUGCAGAUAACAUACGUGUUAGACUGUUAUACGGCUGGCAGUGCAACAGGAGGGAUGUGCUGUCCUGUGGUUACAAUGGCCGUGAUGUCACUAGGGGAUAGGAGUUUUUAAGAUCGUUAUAAUCUUAUGGGAGCACCACUGUAUAUGUCAUCCAUUAUUGACUGAAGCAUCAU
RNAcentral lists this long non-coding RNA (3595 nucleotides) under Macaca fascicularis (crab-eating macaque). Its description in RNAcentral is "lncRNA (ENSMFAG00000056097.1)". The record is from RNAcentral. Lineage: Eukaryota; Metazoa; Chordata; Mammalia; Primates; Cercopithecidae.